Molecule: microRNA precursor, 96 nt
Filed under: Camelus bactrianus (Bactrian camel)
Lineage: Eukaryota; Metazoa; Chordata; Mammalia; Artiodactyla; Camelidae
Also listed under: 2 other names
Description: mir-544 microRNA precursor family
Rfam family: mir-544 microRNA precursor family
Source: Rfam by way of RNAcentral
AUCAGCUGGGGACCUUAUUAAAAUGCAGAUUCUGAUUCAGCCAGUCUGGGAGGGGCUGAGGUUCUGCAUUUCUAACAAGCUCCCGAGUGAUAACGA